This is a long non-coding RNA of Lytechinus pictus (painted urchin), 685 nucleotides long. RefSeq lists it as uncharacterized. Lineage: Eukaryota; Metazoa; Echinodermata; Echinoidea; Temnopleuroida; Toxopneustidae. The transcript has 3 exons. The record is from RefSeq and is a predicted model, not a curated record.
AUAUUUUUUGAGAGUCACAUUAUUCAAAUCAAAUAUGAGAAAUUAAUUUAUCCCGAAGUCUGAGUGACUUGGAAUAACUUACCUUUAUGUAAUGAAUAACAGUGCUCGUCCGAUUUUUUUUCAAUUCUGAACUUACUGUCUCUUUCAACAAGCUCCAUUUCAUGAUACAGGGGAAGCCUCUGACCAGGAAAACUGAGAUUUUUGCUGUGUUUACGCCGAUUAGCUAAUCCAUACAAACCUAACAGAUCACUCGAAAAGCCCCCAUUCUUCCUACUAACCUGAGCGUGAAGAUCCUGUUCAAUAGCCCCUUUUAGCAAGUUUAGUCCCAUGAACUAAAACUGCUGUGACUAUAAACCGUCGUCUGUGCACUGCAUUACACCUCAAAUGGAGAAGAGUGGAUUAAAAACUUACUUAUAGACCAUAGAUGAUCGAACGGAGAACCUAGCAAUAUCAGUGCCAUGGACCACUGGAUUACGAUAUUCCAAUGAAGGAUGGAGUCUAUAGGCUCUAUAUAUUGGGUAGAAUGAAUAAUUAAUUUCCCAAUUGCUUCCUGGUAAUGGGUCAUGCUACAUCUGUACGGGAACAGUAUAUUAUUUGAACCAUGAAACGAAUACGGAGGUCGAUGUGGCGCAUUACAAUGUACUGAGAAGAGAGAAGCUCAGAGGGCCUUACAAACCGAUACUGG